RNAcentral lists this long non-coding RNA (4833 nucleotides) under Gossypium barbadense (sea-island cotton). RNAcentral describes it as "long non-coding RNA (GBAR_LNC001806)". Lineage: Eukaryota; Viridiplantae; Streptophyta; Magnoliopsida; Malvales; Malvaceae. The record is from RNAcentral.
GGAAAUCAAUACAAAAAAAGGGGAAUCAAGGUGGUCUUUUGGUUUUGUUUUCCAUUUCCUUUGCAAGUUUAUUUUCGAAUAUAGCACAUAUAUGUAUAGAUAUUCAAAGAAAACAUAAAAAAAAGUUAACUUUUUGAGAUUGGAGAAGGGAAUCGAGGGGUUGUUUGUUUGAUUUUACUUUAAAAGGCUUUUUCUAGAACUUUGGGUUUUAAAUCGGGGGGAGGGAGAUUGAAAAAAGGAAUCAAAAUUGAAAAGGUGAUUUUGGAUUCAAAUAUUUUUAAUUUCUUCUUUUUUAUUUCGAUUCCAUUAGUCUUUUGCAUUUGAAAACAAAGAGAAAAUAAGAGAUUUACCUUGCGGAUGUGCUAAGAGAUUCCGUCUUCUUCGUUGAAAUCGAAGCGUAGAAGGAAUCUCGUGGUCGAGAUUGUCGUCCUUCGAGGCCCAAAUCUGUUUGUCACCAUUGAUAGAGGCAGAUCGGUGCUUAAGAGAGGGGUGUUAGGAUCGGUUGAGGGAAAAUCAAGAGAGGUUAGGGUUUUGAUUUCUUAGUCGGCCAAAUGAAGAUAGAUAUGGGGAAGGAUUUCCUUCAUUUGCUGUGGAAAGUGGCAGAGUGCCAUUCAAAGGUUUUUAGGGUUUAAUUAAGCGUGCUUUAUUGUUUUGGGGUGAAUUUCACAUUUAGUCCCUCCUCAUUUUGCUGUCAUCUGAUUGAGCCCCAUUUAUGUUUCUUUUGCUUUUUAAUUCUUUCCUAAAACUUAUGCAUUGUUUUGAUUUGAUCCAUGUUUACAUUAUGCGUUCAGAAACCUAGAAUAAUUGCGUUUUUUAUCCUUGCACAUUCACGCGCAUUGCACUUUGGUCUUUAUUUCUAUCUUAAUGGUUUAUUUUAUUUAUUAAUUAUACCUUUUAAUUUGAUUUUAUUUCAAUUAAGUUUUUAUUUCAAUUUAUAUAAUUCAUUAUUUUUUAUUCAUUUGAGCAUUUAUCUUUUAAAUUUUAUUUAUAUACCUUUGGAGUUACUUGGAUAAGUUUACUUCGUUUUUUAAUUAUAAAAUUAUUAUUUUAAAAUUCUCUUUUUAUCAUAUUAUUUUAAAUUUUGGUAUAAUCUUUAAUUUAAAUUACCUUUAUAUUAAUAUAUAUAAUUUAUAUUAAAAUUAGCUUUAUUUUAUAAACAUUAUUAAUUCUAUGUUAUUUUAUAUAUAUAAUUUCUUUUAAAUCUGUUUAUUUGUAUUUCCUUUUAAAUUUAUUGUUUAUUCUUUAAAAAACAUAUUUUAUUAUUUCUUUGUUAUUUAAGAUCCUUAAUUACAUGUAUAUAUUGUUUUACUAUAUAUUGGUUUGUUAUUUCUUCAUGUAUAUUUUACUUUAUUUUAUUAUAUCUUCAUUAUAUAUUGUUUACAUUGAUUUUUUUUAUCAUUACAUGUAUAUUAUCACCUUUAAAUAGAUAUGUUUUGUUUUUAAAAUAUCUUUGUAUGUUAUUUGCUCCAAAUUUCUUCUUUCACAAUAUUUAUUUUAAUAUUCAUUUUCAUAUUCUUAGUUUUAUUUUCAUAUAUGCAAAUCAUUUCAAAUCCUAGCAUGCAUUAUUCAUUUAUAAAUUUUUCAUAUAGUUUUUGAAUUGUUUUGUAUUAUAUUAGCUCUUAGUAUCCAUAUUGCUUUGUAUAUUAUGUGUUGCAUUUUAUCUUUCAUAUUAUUUUUAUAUUAUUAUCUUAUAUUAUUUAUUCAUUUUUUGGUAUUAUUAUAUCAGUUGUUAUUCAUCCAUGCUUAGGAGUUUGGUUAUAUUUUUUGAGGAUUAAUUAUUGUUAGAUUAAUUGGUUUCUUUAGGUUAUAUUAUCUUUAUUCACCAAGUUUUGUACUUUAGUUGUACAUGUUAUCCCAUGUUCAUUAUUUCUCUUGUUUAGUUCAAAUCAAAUAAAUGUGUUUUGAGCUAGUUUACAAUUUUUCUAAAAUAAAGCAAUGUUCAAUAUUUGGAAAUUUGAAGAAUCGUGCCCUACCGUGCUGGGCUUCGAUUCUUCAUUGGACUAAAUAAUUGGACAUCCUUUUGUAAUUUUCAACGUAUAAGCUUUUGUGGGUCAAAAAUCAAUCGUAUUUUCAAAGGUAUGAAGAAUCUUAUCCAAUCGUGCUGGAUGUGAUGCUAUAUAUCUUUGAAACGAGAGAAUUUUGAUGACCAACUUGGACCACACAAAUGUUUUAAAAAAUGAACCAUCUUUCAUUUUUUUUAAUUUUAGACAUAAGGGCAACACUUAAUCAAUUCGGUACCAAUUUUGGGAGUAGUGAGGUUGCUAACCCUUCCUCAUGUGUAACCGGCUCCCGAACCCACUUUGUUUUUCGUAGACCAAAAUUGAUUUUAUAAAAUGUUUUAUUAAGUGAUCCAAUCACACCUAAACGAAAAGAUUGGUGGCGACUCCACAAUUUGUUUUAAAAAGUCAAUCCCCGUUUUUUUUAAAAAUCAAAUCAAAAAAUUGGUUUCGACAAUAAUAUAUUGAAUAAAGAAAAUAAAGAAAUAAAACAUAAAGGAAAAGAAAAAGAAAGGCACGAAUAGCAGAGAAAGAAUGAAGGAAAAAGGGAAAGAAAAAGAAAAGAAAAAUUUAGGGUUUUGAGAUUUCAAACUUGAUUGGUAAGUCAAUUUAAUCCCUUUUCUUGUAAUUUUGGUGUCUAUGGAAUCCUAGGAAGAAAUACUAUUUGAGUUAUGUUGAAAUUUAAAAAGUUUUUGAGUUUUUAGAUGUUGAUUAAGUUGAAUAAAUGGAAGAAAUUAAGUGUAUUUUGAUGGAUAUUUAAGUUAGAAGUGGUUAAAGGAUUAAAUUGUAGAGAGAGACAUAAGUUUUGUUAUAGUAGGGAUUAAAUUGUUUAAAUUGUAGAAUUGAUGUUUUAUAUUGAAUAUUAAGAGUUGAAACUUGGUUAAAGUAGGUAUAAAAUGAAAACUAUAAGGUUAUUUGAAGAAAAAGAAUGGUUAUGGUGGAAGGACCUAAUUGGAAAUAUAGUAAAAGUUAUAUGGAAAUAAAAGAGUGUGUUAUUAAAUAACAUACAUUGAUAAUUUUAAAUGUUAAAUUUUAUGUAGCCAAUGUAGCACCGGAAACAUCAUCGAAAAAGGGGAAAGAAAAAGUGAACGAGGAUAUCGAAUAAACUCGAGAAUUUCGGUUUGUAUUUCUAUAAAAUAUGUUUAAUGUUUUAAUACAAUGUAAUUGUUAUUUUUAAUAAUUAGAAUGUAUAAUGAAUGGUAUGAUGGAAACUGUUACUACUUCUGUAUGGAAAUGAAACGAUUAGAAUACCCUAUUAACAGUGUCAGGCUAGUCGGAUACAAUUGGCAUGCCAUAGGAUUGGAAGUGUUCAGGGAUAUUCUGACUGUGUGUCGAUGAGACACUAUAUGUGUCGACUACUUUGACUGUUCAGGAUUUGUUCUGAAGAGGUACUUUGUACUUGACUAUGACUGUUACUGUUACCCUACUGUGUAUUCUGGUUUCAGCCGAUGAAACAUUGUAUAUUAUCCCUGGUGUGUGGGUUGGAUCCGUGUAUCCGUUUAGGUCCAAGUUAUGUUAAUAGGGGUAAAUGAAAGUACUGAAGACUGUCUGAUAUUGAUUAAGUGACUGUGACUGAUUUACGAAUGUUUAAGUUAUUGAAUGAUAUGAAAUAUAAAUAUUUAUAUAUGAAUUAGUUAACUACAGGAAAUAUAUGUAAAAUGAAUGUAAGGGGUGAAGCUAUUAAGAUUAUGAAAGUAAAGUUUAAGUUACAAUGUAUAUACAUAGCUUAUUAUUGUUUAAGUAUUAGUUUAUAGAAAUACCACUGAGUGCAUACUCAGCGUAUGGUUUGUUUCCGUGCGCAGGUUAGGUAUGAAAGAAAGUUAAGGACUCAGCAUCCAAGCCAAUCCCGAACUCAAAGUGGUGAAGUACUUUUCUUUUGGUAAAAUGGCAUGUACCUAGGCUGAUAGAUUUUAUUUUGUAAAUGAUAAGAAUGAACAUGAAAGAUGUUGAAACAUUUAGUGUGAAAUAUGCAUAUUUUGAAAGUUAAACUUACAUCAGUUUGACUAGUAUGAUAAUGUAGUAUAAUUUUGAUAUGAAUUGUGGUACAUAAUCUUUAAGAGGUAUUGAAGUGAAUGAAUGAAUAUUUGCUAAGUUUGAAUGGCAUAAUGAAUGAUAUUUGAUUUAAGAACUAUUAGUAAAUGUUUGGGCAUGAAUUAUUAGCAUGUAAAAAUAGCUUAGAACUGGUCAAAAAUCAUGUUUUCACACGGCCAAGUCACAUGGGCGUGUGCUUAGGCCAUGUGGCUCUCUAUUUAUGUCACACGGGCUAUUCCCACGGUCGUGUGUGCAAGUCAGAUCUGCCCACGGCCUGGCCCCACGACCAUGGGAACCCCAUAGGCUGGCCACACAGGCAUGUCCCAGGCCACACGGGCGUGUACCCCCAUCUUCAAGGUAAAAUUUCCAAAGUUGUCGGUUUAAUCUCAAAUUACUUCUAAAACAUGUAUUCGGUCCCGUAGACCCAUAUUAGGGACUUUAUAGUGUAAUUUGAGAAGUUCCGAUUUGAAAUGCAAAUUUAUGACUCGAUUUUGUAUAAAUGCUAGUGUAUAAUUCGGUAAUGCCUCGUAACCUUAUUCCGGUGAUAGUUUGGGGUUAAGGGGUAUUACAAAACACUGGCUACAAAUUUUAAAAAUACUCCAUACUCAGGGCGAUGAUUGAACCCUCAACCAUUAGUUAAGAUAGAAGAGACCCUUUCUAUCUCACCUAACUCUUGUGGUUCAGGUUUGUUUAUUUUAUCAGGUACGACAUUUGCAAUUGUAAUGUUAAUAGUGGUUAUUCAACAAAUGAGAAAACGUUGGGAGAAGGUGAUUCAAGGAAUGUUGAUGGGUAAAGAACUUUGGGU